UUUAAGUUAAAGCUCCAAACUGAAAUAAAUCUGUUUCUAGGUUUUAUCAAAGCAUCAAGUGAACUUUUUAUCAAAAAUAGAAUAAAUUAAAGUUGAAAAAUUUGAAAAUUUAUCAGAAACUUGUAUUUCUAAAAAAUCUUUUAUAUGCAAUACAUGUACAAGAAUGCCAUGAACACAAUUCUGAUACAAAGUCACUGCCCAUAAUAGUAUGAUAAUUCCAGCUGUAAAAUAGCAGGAAAAGACACUGAAAUUGGACGUAAAAUCACUUUUCCAGGCGUAAAAUACACAUAAUUAAUUAAGAGCAAGAAAAAUUAGAAAAGUAUGGGGUUACUUUAUUUUCCAUUUUUUCUUUCUUUUUUUUCAGUACUUUUUUUAGGGAUGUAAAGUUUGACUUAAAGUCAAAAAUGUCUAUGUUCCAUUCUAUGCUUGUAAAAUGAAAUUACGGCUGUAAAAGUGUACUUAGCUCUUUUAGUUGCAAUCUGUACAUUAAAUAGUUGAACUGUUAUUCAAUGCCCAGAAAAUGCAUAUUUCUGCAUAAAGUUUGUUGUUAAAAUCUGCUAUGAUAUUUAAUGUCAAUCUUGAAUAAAGUUUGACUUUGGUCUUUUCUUUUAAUUGGUCUCUUUAAUAUUAUUUUAAACUGAUAUCUGGUGUCAGUACUAACACUUUUCAUGUAAUGCUUACAAUAAUUAAAGUGAAAAAUUUAAAGGGAAAUAACUCCAAAAGUAUGCAAAAGAGUUAUGGUUCUUAAACACAGCACAUUACUCGCAAAGAUCUAUAUUUGUGAAGUUUCAAAUUAAUAUCUCCAAUACUUUUUAAGCUUAAUAAUCAGAACAAAAAUUAAGCAUGGAGAAGUACAAAAUGGCAAUAAACCCCAAAUCAUGCAAUAAAGAGUUAUGAUUCCUAGGCCUUGUACUUCUCAUCAAUGAGAUUUAGUUAUAUGUGGAGUUUAAAAUUAUUGUAUCAAACAUUUUUUGUACUAUGCUUUGCAGAUUAAAACUUACAAAGGGCAAAAACUCCAUAACUUUGCAGGAGAGAGUUAUGUAUUUUAAAGAAGAAAAAAAACAUGAAUCAAACUUGUUAACAAUAAUAUUUAAAUGCUAUUUAAUAAAUAUACAUAAAAAUAGAUCAGCCUUCAAGAUAAUGAAGCACUGUGCUUGCUUAUUAUACAUACACAAUAUACCGGGGGGUAGUAUGCCUUUCAGAGGCUUUAAAUCUAUAGUAAAAAUAAUUGUGUGAAAAGUAAAUAGCAAAUAGUUCCUGAUACUUUCUUAUAAUCAGGAUAAGUAAAUACUAGCUUGUAAAUACUGCAUCCUCUAAGAUUUAACAACAAGGCAUACAACACAGAUCUGAUAAAACUACUGCCCUCUUAUCUAGUAAUCUCUGCAUGGGUAAAAUAGUUUACUCAAGCUGACCAGACUGUUCCAUUUGAUUAUUUUGGGAGAGGCAACAUUAUACAUGUUAUAUGUAGAAUCUGUGUUAAAAUAGCAUGCUAAAUUAUCUUUCAAAAACUUAUUUCUACUCAAUCUAUUUAGAUAUUAGACAUAGUUUAUACAUUCAAAUGAAUGUAAAAAAUAACAUGAUGGGCGCUAUGGUUUUUUAAUAAUCCCUCACAGUUGAAAAUUAUAAUGGAACUUUCCAGUUGUACGGUUGUAAAGUUUGAAUUCAAAGGAAUUAAGGUCAGUUAAAGAUUGCAUACACAAAGGAAAUGAUUGGUAUUGUAGCAAUUCUGGAGAUAUUAUCUUGUUUAAAAUGUAAGGGUGCAUAUUUUUGAUUUCUCAAAGAAUACAUUAAAAGUCUUAUUAGUGUGGCAAAUAGAAAUGAGAAGUUUUAACUGAAGUGUGAAUGUGUAGAUUAUAACAUUAGACAAGAAGAUAAACAGCAGAGUCAUUCCAAGUCAAAGUUUCAGGUAAGCAACUUUUACAUAUAACAUUUAUUAUUAUUUUUGCAGAAACUAUUAAGUUUUUUUUACAGUAAAAUUAUGUAGUGGUAUUGUAUAAAUUUAUGUUUUAAAUUUGUUAUGUUUGUAACUUGACUAAAAAAAGAAAGCUGAUAUUACAUAUAAAGAAUAAAGGAAUGUAAAGAAUAUAGGAAGAGCUUCAUCAUUUCAUAAAUACAGUAUGUUAGAAAUUUUAAGUUUGAGAAAUAAUUAUAGAAAUUAAUCAGUAAGUACAAUAUCAGUAAUAUGUACAAUAUUACAUCAAUCAAACUAUAGAUAACCAGGUAGUGAGGUACUUUUUACUACAACUUUCAUGCUAUAAACAUAUUUCCUUGUGUGUCACAUGUGAAUCAGAUCAACAGUAACUGUUUUAAUGGUAAGCUUCAUUCCUUCAUGCAUUGUUGUAAUUCAGCUUUCAUGGUGCAGUAGAUAUAUAACCAUAACUAGACAGUCUAGAGUAACAAGCUGUUAGGAGAAUGACAGUUCAUAACAGAAACAGCAUUAAAUAAGAAUUAUUCUUUUGCAGACACAAAGCAAUGAGGACCAGCCUGGAGCAACACACUUGUUCUUCAGUGGCUUUACAAAGGACCAAGUGAUGGCAGAACUGAGGCACUAUGCAGCAAAUGAGAAAGGUACAACAAGGCUCUUCAGAAUGCUAUUCAGUAUAGCGGAGAUUACAGGCGGCUCGUUGUUUGGUAUGAGAAAAUGGAACAGAGAGUCUGACGCCAGACCUGCUUGUGCAGACAAGGCAAAACUUAAGUUCUUGAAAGAUUGUGCGCUGGAAAAGUGGCUGACAACCUAAAGGACUGAAAUCCAUAGGAUGAUUCUGCACCUCCUCAAACCGUCCAGGAAUAAAAAGAUAAACUGAAGAUAAUAAUGGACUAAUGUGUUGCUAUUUUUUGAGACAAUUAUUUCAUAUGGAGACAUUAAAAAAGAUUAUUUUUAAAAUUGGUUUGUUUCUCUUUUAGGGUACAGGGUGACUUUUAAGCAGUUUCCAGCUAUUGCCACCCACAAGGUGGAAAAUUUCUGAAAGGGUGAAAAUAGGUGGCAUUUAGUGGAAACUGAAUUUGCCACUUUGUGGUGGAAAAAUGGUGGAAAAGUGUCUAAAUACUCCACCAACUUGCCACCCUAAUGGUGGCAAAAGGUGAAAAUAAGUGGCAUUUGGUGGAAAAUGAGUUUGCCACUCAAUGGUGGCAUAAUGGUGGAAAUUCGUCUAAAUACUCCACCAUUUUUCCACCAUGAUGGUGGCAAUUAGUGGAAACAAGUGGCAUUUGGUGGAAAAUGAGUUUGCCACCCUAAGGUGGCAUAAUGGUGAAAGUUUGUCUAAAUACUCCACCAACUUUCCACUCAUUGGUGGCAUUAAGUGUAAAAAAGGUGGAAUUUACUGAAAAUUAUAUACCAUCAGUCCUGCUCAAAUUUUUCACCAUUUUCAUGAUUUGGGUGGCGUUUUGGUGGCAUUUUGGUGGCAUUAUUGGUGGAAAAUUGUCUAAAUACUCCAGCAUUGAAAAGGGUGGCAUUUAAGUGGCAAAUCGAGGGACGGGUAGAGUCUAAUAGCCAAUUUACUAUAGUUAUAACACUGGAAACAGCAUUGGUGACAAUAUACAAACAAAUUGGUUUACAAUCUCACAACCUUCACCUUUCUGACAUUCUGAGAUCCAAACAAAUUCAGCGCCUUCUGUGCUUUGAUUUAAGUUGGUUAUCACUAGAGAAGUAUAGCACUUAUUCACUUGAAAUUAAUAUUUAUAAACUGAAAGAUCACAUAUAGGCAAAGGACAGUGUAUUAGAAUCAUAACUCUCUUUUGAAUAAUUUUGGAGUAAUUGCCCUUUCCAUUUUACAUACUGAAUUUUAGUAACUAUAAAGUGACUCAUAAAGUUUUGGAUAUACAAUUUAUAACAAUUUGAAAUUUCACAUGUGUAUUUAUUUCAUUAAUGAGAAGCACACCAUUUUAGAACUAUAACUAUUAUAAUCUUUUAAUCAUUUUACAGGGAAUAUCGUUGUAAUGAAUUUGCUUGUUCAAUUUUGGCUUAUUUUUGCCUUAUUUAUUGAUUUAUUAUAUAAAUGUUAUCCUUGAUCUAAAAGUAGUACAUCUAAGUGUAAUUUUAUGUCAGGAAUUGAGAUACUGAUGCAGUUCAGUUGUUUUACUUUUCCAUCAUGAAUUCAAUCUUAUUUACUUUAUCUAAAGUAGAGAGUAAAUCAGUUAUUCUCAAACUUCUAAUAACUUGUUUGUUCAUUUGUAUGAUUUUGGAUCAGGUGCUCUUCAGUGUACUUUUUUUCUGGCAUGAGCCUGCUUCUGAUUUAUACCACCUACCUUCUGUAAGCUAGGAGGGUAAGCUAUUCGCAUAAAAUAAACCAAAGUCCCUGACAGGAUGCAAACCUAUGUGCUGAUUUCUCUGAUAGCUCUUGAUCAUAGUACAGAACAUUUAAAAAUACAUUCAAUACUUGACUUUUUAUA
Long non-coding RNA from Ruditapes philippinarum (Manila clam), 4389 nucleotides. RefSeq lists it as uncharacterized. The transcript has 3 exons. NCBI's taxonomy places the organism in Eukaryota, Metazoa, Mollusca, Bivalvia, Venerida, Veneridae. The record is from RefSeq and is a predicted model, not a curated record.